GAUGAAGAACGCAGCGAAAUGCGAUAAGUAAUGUGAAUUACAGAAUUCAGUGAAUCAUCGAAUCUUUGAACGCACAUUGCGCCCGCCAGUAUUCUGGCGGGCAUGCCUGUUCGAGCGUCAUUACAACCCUCAGGCCCCCGGGCCUGGCGUUGGGGAUCGGCGGAAGCCCCCUGUGGGCACACGCCGUCCCUCAAAUACAGUGGCGGUCCCGCCGCAGCUUCCAUUGCGUAGUAGCUAACACCUCGCAACUGGAGAGCGGCGCGGCCAUGCCGUAAAACACCCAACUUCUGAAUGUUGACCUCGAAUCAGGUAGGAAUACCCGCUGAACUUAAGCAUAUCAAUAAGCGGAGGA
Molecule: unclassified non-coding RNA, 352 nt
Filed under: soil metagenome
Description: partial contains 5.8S ribosomal RNA, internal transcribed spacer 2, and large subunit ribosomal RNA
Rfam family: 5.8S ribosomal RNA (bases 1-120)
Source: RNAcentral